RNAcentral lists this ribosomal RNA (468 nucleotides) under uncultured bacterium. RNAcentral's name for it is "partial 16S ribosomal RNA". It matches the Rfam family "Bacterial small subunit ribosomal RNA", at positions 28 to 507 of the family's 1533-position model. The record is from RNAcentral.
GACGAACGCUGGCGGCGCGCCUAACACAUGCAAGUCGAACGGAGUCAAGAGGAGCUUGCUUUUCUUGACUUAGUGGCGAACGGGUGAGUAACGCGUGAGUAACCUGCCCUGGAGUGGGGGACAACAGUUGGAAACGACUGCUAAUACCGCAUAAGCCCACGGAUCCGCAUGGAUCUGCGGGAAAAGGAUUUAUUCGCUUCAGGAUGGACUCGCGUCCAAUUAGCUAGUUGGUGAGGUAACGGCCCACCAAGGCGACGAUUGGUAGCCGGACUGAGAGGUCGAACGGCCACAUUGGGACUGAGACACGGCCCAGACUCCUACGGGAGGCAGCAGUGGGGGAUAUUGCACAAUGGGGGAAACCCUGAUGCAGCGACGCCGCGUGGAGGAAGAAGGUUUUCGGAUUGUAAACUCCUGUCGUUAGGGACGAUAAUGACGGUACCUAACAAGAAAGCACCGGCUAACUACGUG